ACAAGGAUUCCCCUAGUAGCGGCGAGCGAACAGGGAAGAGCCCAAACCGAAUGAUUUAUCAUUCGGGGUUGUAGGACUUCAAUAGAGCGUUGGAGAUGUAGCUGAAUGGCAUGGGAAGGCCAAUCGAAGAAGGUGAGAAUCCUGUAGGCGACGCAUUGAAGACAUCAGAAGGAUCCUGAGUACGGCGGAACACGUGAAAUUCCGUCGGAAUCCGGGAGGACCAUCUCCCAAGGCUAAAUACUCCCUAGUGACCGAUAGUGAACCAGUACCGUGAGGGAAAGGUGAAAAGAACCCCGGG
This 298-nucleotide ribosomal RNA is filed under the name Chloropicon mariensis. Its description in RNAcentral is "partial Bacterial large subunit ribosomal RNA". It matches the Rfam family "Bacterial large subunit ribosomal RNA", at positions 228 to 530 of the family's 2925-position model. Lineage: Eukaryota; Viridiplantae; Chlorophyta; Chloropicophyceae; Chloropicales; Chloropicaceae. The record is from RNAcentral.